Molecule: ribosomal RNA, 373 nt
Filed under: uncultured Glomeromycotina
Lineage: Eukaryota; Fungi; Glomeromycota
Description: LSU rRNA
Source: RNAcentral
UUGAAAGGGAAACGAUUGAAGUCAGUCGUACUUUCGGGUAAUCAGCCUUUCGGGUGCGAUUCUGUGGAGUUUGAGGAGCUUAACACCUUCAUGCUUUGCAUAUUCGUGCUCUUGGGUGUACUUGCCCGUGUGGUUGGUUAACAUCAAUUUCGGGCACCAUAAAAUGGCUGGAGGAAUGUAGCUUCGAUCUUGUAUUGAAGUGUUAUAGCCUUCGGUAGAUGUGGUGAUCGAGAUUGAGGAUUGCAACGGAUACCUUUCGGGGCUACCUGUCUGAUCUCUGAUCGUUGCUUUGGUGCUGAAAGCGUGCUUAUAGUUAUCAAAGUCGAUGGUCAAUAGGUUAGAAUGGGUUAAAUUCGUUAAGGAUGUUGACGUA